Molecule: unclassified non-coding RNA, 204 nt
Filed under: Borreliella garinii
Lineage: Bacteria; Pseudomonadati; Spirochaetota; Spirochaetia; Spirochaetales; Borreliaceae
Description: partial 5S-23S ribosomal RNA intergenic spacer
Source: RNAcentral
GAGAGUAGGUUAUUGCCAGGGUUUUUAUUUUAUACUUUAAACAUUGAUUUUAUUUUUUAUGUUUUUAGAUGUUUAUAUUAUUUGAAUGUUUUAUUCAAAUAAUAUAAAAAAUAAAAUAUAUAUAUUGACAUGGAUUAAACAAAGAUAUAUAUUAUUCUAUGUUGUAUAAACAAAUUGGCAAAAUAGAGAUGGAAGAUAAAAAUA